AACACGUGGGUAACCUGCCCGUAAGACCGGGAUAACUCCGGGAAACCGGGGCUAAUACCGGAUAACACCGGGGGCCGCAUGGCUUCCGGUUGAAAGGCGGCCUUUGGCUGCCACUUACGGAUGGGCCCGCGGCGCAUUAGCUAGUUGGCGGGGUAACGGCCCACCAAGGCGACGAUGCGUAGCCGGCCUGAGAGGGUGGACGGCCACACUGGGACUGAG
Molecule: ribosomal RNA, 219 nt
Filed under: Caldibacillus debilis
Lineage: Bacteria; Bacillati; Bacillota; Bacilli; Caryophanales; Bacillaceae
Description: partial 16S ribosomal RNA
Rfam family: Bacterial small subunit ribosomal RNA
Source: RNAcentral